CGUCCAAAUUAAAACGCUGUGUCAUAUUUUUUUUUCUUUUCUUGCAGUAAUAAUGGAGUAGCAUUUCAGAGAUACAAGAGAUACUCCCCUCCGUUUCUUUUUUUUUAUUUGUCGCUAUUUUAGUUUAAAAAUAAACACUUAGUAGACGACAAAUAUUCGAGAACCGAACCGAGCAAAUAUUUAUCUCUAGCUCCUUAUGUGCUCUAAAAUGCCAAAUAUUUUUUUACCCUAAUCAAAGAAGGAAUGACAUAAGAUCUAUUUGAUUUGCAGUAAUGGUCUGCUCAAAAACCGACUUCACCGCUGGUAUCGACAGUAACAGUGGACAGUGAAGUGGAUCUUCCUCGAAUCUGCCGGGCAAAACAUGUUGGGUGGGCUAAAGAGAUAAGACUAUGGACCACCAUGAAGAUGCAAACACAGUACAAUUGAAUCCACACAGGCGGGAUCAAGUAUCGUUCUCAAUCCGAAGGCUGCUAGCUAGGGCACCAUGAAGAGGGAUGGAUAGCUGGAAAUGGUAUUGGGUUGGGACAUUAUGCUUUUCACAUUUAUGGAACACUCGUACUUAUGCAUUAUAAAUGUGAUUAAAUAUAAGGUAGUUUGACUUCAACUUUCUAGCCAGCUGUAAAAGGCUAGCUAGAGGGUUACUCAAACACAACUAAAUUGACCACUGAUAUGGGCAAAGACAUAAAAAAGUUGGCAUGAAAAAAGUUGAUAUAGUAACUAAAAAUAAAUGAGAAAGAAGAGGUAGAAGAAAGAUGUUAUAGAGUAGUAGUGUAUCAAUUGUUUUAUACAGUAUAUAAUUAUUAUUUUUACUUAACAAAAAAGUUUUCACGUUCUCUUUUGAUUUUAACGAAUUAUGUUGAUUUUCAUUUGCUUUAUUUCAGUAAACUGUUGCGUUUCAUUUUAACCACACAAAUCUACAAAGGCCGCGAGGAUUGAAAAUCAGUAGUACCCUACAUUGUGUGACCAUACCACAUAGAUUCGAUAGUUCAUCCGUCUAUACAUUUUGCAACUUGUUAGACCAGGCCGGGUGACACAGGCAUUCGGUUAACCGAUUUUUUUUCGGUUCGGUUUUUUGAAGUCCGGUUUUUGAAGGAUGGUAACCGAAAAUUCUGUGUAAAAGAAAAAGAAAGGAAAAACCGACCCCUCUGUUAACCGAAACCUGUGGGAGCGAUUGUCAAUUGGACACGUAAAAAAGGUGCGUGCGUAAAGGAAGAAGGAUUGAAAGCAACGCGUCAAUGCAAGAGAUUUAUUUAAGCUGUUCUUUUGAAAGCAAAAGUACACAGCUCGCUCCUAUUUUAUUUAGGAACUCUUCUCCUUGCAGAAAUUAAAAACAAGUACUGUACAUAUAUGAUAGCAUGGAGUCUCUCUAGUCCAAGUUUGUUGGCUGCUGGAGGCGGAGAUACUGAAGGCGAUAUGGCCCUAAUAAUUUGGCACAAGUGUUUGACUCGAAAUAGUUUACUGAGAUGACGCCUCUCAGCAGCUCACUCCUCGUCGUCUUGGGAAGGGUCAUCACGGAACCGGCAUAUCCGGCCAUUUGGCUAGCUAAUGGCUUGGCACUACGGCGUCUGCUCCAAGUGGACGCAAAAGAAGGCCCGUUGCGUUGCGCUCACGAAAGCCUGCUGCAUGCAAUGGAGAUGGGGAGUCGUUGGUUCAAUCAUCUCUAUGGCUGGCUGGAACUUUAUAUAUCUAGUUAGCUUCAUCCCCUUUAUUUGGAGGUCCAUGGUGAAUGAUGGAUUUAGGUUCCGGCCUUUUCUCUUAGACUGAUGGGACCGGAACAGCAGGCCGACGACGGACGGCACAUGGAAGAAUAAUGCAUGCACAGUUCCAAGCACGCAGAUCGCGAUGUUGGGGGGCGAAAAAAAGAAUCAAAAGCAUCAUUAUUAAGGGCGGCAGAGAGGCAUGUGUAGCUACGUACCUUGGUUCCCAGCAGCUCCGGCGAGGCCCGCACGGCGGCGGACGCGUCGAGCGCGAAGCGGGCGCGGUGGAUGGCGAUGCGCGCCAGCGGCUGCACGCCGGCGUGCCCCGCGGCCACGGCGGCGAGCAGGAGCAGGCAAACCAACCGCGCCGCGCCUUCCGCCGGUCUCAUGACACGAUCGAUGAUGCUAUCUUCCUUGCUUCCUUUUGGAACUAGUAGGGAGAGCACCGAGCAGCUUCCGCCGUGCGGUUUAUGUAUCAGCGGACGCUACGUCUACGUGUAGCGCACCCGAUCGAGAUGCGAGAGAACUCGAACGAGACGACGCGCGCGGGGAGUUGACUCGACGAGCGAUACAGCUAGAUAGCCGUGCCCAGCAGCUUCAAUUCGCGAGGGCUCUCGGAGAGAUUUCCGCCGCUGGCCGCGUACAGGAUCUAUAAAGAUAAGGAAGUUAUAUGCUUCGGAUAUGGCCAGAAAUUCCGCGUACGGCCGCGCCGUUUGUUUAGCUUAUAAUACUAAUUGUUUGUACGAUACGACGGUCGACUUCUCCUGGACGUUCACACCGAACCUAAGCCUAUGCCUAUGUGGUUGUUUGGAUCUCAUUACCGUGAAUCGGUACUUUCAAAGACAGGUUUUACAAUGAACUUUCAAAUAAACAUGGUUUUUAAGUA
Zea mays is the source of this 2583-nucleotide long non-coding RNA. RefSeq lists it as uncharacterized. The transcript is spliced from 2 exons. Lineage: Eukaryota; Viridiplantae; Streptophyta; Magnoliopsida; Poales; Poaceae. The record is from RefSeq and is a predicted model, not a curated record.